UUACGAGCGUCAUCUCUCGCCAGAUCUAUGACGUAAAAUCAGUCUUUUUGUCGAUGUCGUCAAGAAUUAUUUCGAAAACGCAAUUAACUUACAGCACGCGCGUACUCUUUCCUUUAUAGUAAAGCGCAUAAUGCAAAUAUACUCGCAAAAUUUUAUUUUCGAGCACGUAUCAUGUACGAUCAAUUAAUUAUUAAUACUUUUGUCGCUUUUCCAAUUUUUCAUAGGAAAUAAUAUACGUAAGUAAUACAUAGAGAACAUAAAACAUUUCGAUCUAUGUAUUGAUCGGCUAAACUUUACCUUCAAGAAUCUUCUAUUCCAAUUCGACGGGUUAUGGCCUUGCUCUUUGGAAUUCCACAACGCUUUCGACGCUCUUUCCAUGAAUUUUCAAUAACAUAUAUCGUUUUUUCAUUUUGCGUCAAUAAGAGGAAUCAUAAUACAUAUGUAUAUAUGUAUAAGUUAUUAACAAGUUGGAGACUUUGAUCGCUAAUAAAAAAUGUUUUUUACUAAUUCUCUCAUGGAUAUCUAUGAAUACAAAAACUGAUAUAUUUAUUUAUUUCUCUAUUACGUGGAUUGCUAAGAAGGAAUGUGAAGGGGAAACAAAAAAGAAAAGAAAAAAAAAAAAAAAAAAGAAAAGAAAGAAAUGGAAGAGACAAUAGCGAAAUUAUUUUCUUUCGUAUUACCUCGAUUAAUGAUUCUUCAUCUAUUAAUCGUGGCUUAGAUCUGUAAGAUUAUCGGCCAAGUAAUGUUACCAAGAAAUGAAAUAUAAUGUACAGAUAGUUGUUGGUGUUCCUUAGGAGCACAUAGAUAGUAUUUAUACCGCACGUAAUAUAUGCGAAUUCAAUACAAUUCUCGAUACCCUGUUCAAAAUAAUAUUGAAUACACUGUUCGUAAUGUAUACAAAGAAACUCGUUUUACUGCGUACAAUUCUUAAACACACACGUCAUCUGACCAUCUGCUUUAUUCCAUGUACAUGGCUUAUAGAACCGAAGAAAUAUAAUAUUCGUAUAUACACGUAUUCACAAUAGUGAAAUAGAAAGUUCGAACUUUGUUUGAUAGUUACCAAGGCAACCGAUUCUGUUCGCACUUAUUAUCAAUUUUUUAUUGACGCUUAUAUAAUACAUGUUAUACCUUAAAAGAGCAAGAUAUAUAUCAGACAUAGGAAUACUCGAUAAAUUUUGUUUGCCUAACGUCGUAAUUCUGACCUUGAGAAGAAAAAACCGAAAGAUUCAUUUUGAUUAAAUCAUGAUGUGCCGAGUAUUGUCACCUUCUACGCCGCUAUACCUUAGAUUCUAUUCAUUUUGUAUGAAUGGCAAUAUAUGCCGUGGAAUUACUAAAUUUCCGGUAUUGUCGAAUGUGGAAAAUCAAAGAUGCAUAGAUAUAAAUAGCAAUGAAGUUAUAUCGGCACGUAUGGCUCAAUCUCACGCAGCGUCAGCCGUUAGCGAAACUUUAAAUCGUGAUGACACGCUACCUUUGAUGGAGUCAACGAGCGCGGAAGUGAUGUCGGAAACCUUUGAAUUAGCGAGUAAAUUCUUGCGACCUACUAUCGAAGAUAGGGCUCCAUUAUCCUUCGAUCAGAUACCAGGUCCCAUAAUAAUGAAGCUCUGGGAAAAAUAUUGGAAAUACGUGCCGAUUUUCGGUACGCAACUGUUUUCCAGUCUGCUAAUCAACAGAUUCAGCCAGGGACGUUUAAGUUGGAAUCGCAACAUUACGCCGGUUAAAUAUCUUUUUAAUAGAUACGGUUGUAUCGUAAGACUCAGUGGUCCAUUAUCCGGUGAUAUUGUCAUGAUUCAUAGACCAGAACAUAUAGGAGAAGUUUUUAAACAAGAAGGCGAUGCACCUAUUCGCAGUGGUAUCGACGUUCUCGAGCACUAUCGUCUUCACUAUCGAAAAUAUCGUCUCGCAGGUGCUUUUUCAAUGCAAUGCUCGGAAUGGUUAGAAUUGAAAGAAAAAGUACACAAAUCGUUCAACAAGAUAGACUCAAAGUUUCUCAGAAAACUUGAAAUAAUUUCCGAAGAUUUUAUUGGUCAAAUACGAAAAAUACGUAAUAGACAGGAUGAAGUUCCUAAUAAUUUUAAUGAAGAGAUUGCUCGCUGGGGCUCGGAAUGUUUCUUCACCCUUAUAUUCGAUAAGAAGCUUGGAUUUCUUGAUUCAACAGGGCAGAAUCCUACUUCGGAGCCAGCAAUAUUCAUUGAUGCGCUUGCGACCGCCCACAAAUAUUUAAGUCGUUGCGAAACUGGUUUUCAAGUAUGGAGAUUCUUUGAUACUCCCUUUUCCAAACGGCUUUUUUCCGCGUGCGAUGUUAUCGAUGGUAUUAUAAGUAAAUACAUUCGUCAAGCACAAAAUAUGUUUCGAACUCGAUCGCCGUUGUCUUGUUCCGAUGAAACCUCGCCCAUUCUAGAAAAGUUGUUAUUAGCUCAACGUCUUCAUCCCGACGAUGUUUCCACUUUAUUGAUGGACAUGGCAAUUUUGGGAGUUCAAGCAAUGACAAACUGCGAAGCGUUUCUUUUAUACUUCUUGGCGAAGAGUCCCAGAGUUCAAAAAAAAUUAUACGAAGAGAUCCUAUCUGUUAUUCCCAACGCGGAAUCUUCGAUAACCGAAACUAAUUUGCAAGACAUGCCGUAUUUAAAAGCUUGCUUGAAAGAAAGUCUAAGAUUGCGACCUGCUUUUCCCUACAUUACCAGACUAUUACCAAACUCGAUAUGUCUCCAUGGAUAUACAGUACCAAAAGGGUCAAAUAACGUCACAACGCGAAGAAAAUUUCGAAGAUCCGGAGAAAUUUCGACCGGAAAGAUGGUUAACGAAUCAAAUGGAUGAUGAUUUUCAAGAGUAUAGUUUUUUACCAUUUGGACAUGGCGCACGAUCUUGUCUGGGAAGACAUAUGGCGGAAAUAAAAAUGGCAUUGCUUACGGCAAAGUUGGUCCGGGAGUUCAAAAUCGAAUAUAAUUACGCCGAUAUUGGAACAAGUUUUUAUAUGAUGAAUGUACCUGAUAAACCUCUUCGUUUUCGAUUUAUCGAUAGAGAUUGAAAUAAUGAUUAUUACAUACUUAGAUAUGACAAAAUAAUUUUCUUAUAAAAAGUUUUUUCUACGAGUUAAGAUAUAUGAAUUAUACAGGAACUAACAGUAAGUAGACAUAUUAUAUUAUAUUAUAUCGAGUGUUGUAUUUAUAUUCGGAAACUUCUCUCAGUUAUAAGUGUGUUCAGUAAUUACUAUUACUAUUUAUUUUAAUAAAAGUAUGUUAUAUAUUAACUUUUAUCUUUUAACAUUCAAAUUUAUUUGAAAGAAAGUACUAUUUCGGAGAUAUCAAUUUCAUUAUACUUACUGCCGGAAACGAUAAUAUAGAACAGUAGUUUCAUAAAUAUUACAGAACGUUUACGGUGGAUAAUUUGAGCUAUCGUUCAAUUGUUGAAUAAUAAUAAUGCAAUCCAUCAUGAAUAGAAAAUACUGAAAAAUUUCAUUUUAAAUAAAUUAUUUAUUAAUAAUUGAUAUAAACCAAAACAAGAUUGUAACUUAAAAUGUGUUAAGGUUACUGACCUUGUAAACGAAGUGAUGGCCAAAGUCAAAUAGACCCACCCCGGAAAGCCUUAGUCAUUUUUGUGUAAUUUGUAGAAUAAAUUGGAAAAUCUAUAGAACAGAAAGUUUUAUGGACGAUUAUAAUGUCAUCGACAUUUCUCAUCUUCGUUUAUAUAAUUUCAUUCGAUAAAGCUAAUCUUACCUCUUCUUGUCUUUCUGGAUCGUACGUGAAAUCUCUUAAAAUAUGAAGCGCGUGUUCCGUACGUUUCACCUAAAUUACAUUGUAGUCACUUAUAUAUUUUAAAAAGUAUUUAUUACUUUGUAAACAAGUAAAAUACAUUUAUUUAUCAUUGUUAUUACCUUUGUGCAACAUUUUUCGAUUGUGUUAUUUAUAAAUAUCACGUUAAACAAUGAUAUAACCAUCGACAAUACUACAGGCGUAAAAUCAAACAUAUAGGAUAAUGUAAAUUUAAAAUAUAUAUGUUGUGCCUGUACAUAUCCCAAUAUAUAUAUAAAUUGAGUCACCAUUUCAAUAGUUAGUUCUAUUUCAAAUGUUUUGUGGAAUUCAUAACAUAUUUUUGAAAGUUCCAGGUGUACGUGCCUUUGGUAAUAUAUUUCCAAUAGAUUAAGUAGGGAUAUUUCGUAAGGUUAUAAAUAAACAAUAAUUAUUGUAUAUUUACAUUAUUGUUAAUAAACUUCGUUUAUACUGAGGAGUAUCAAUGA
This is an RNA transcript of Vespa crabro (European hornet), 4234 nucleotides long. It is a transcript of the gene named probable cytochrome P450 301a1, mitochondrial, with no coding region annotated. The record is from RefSeq and is a predicted model, not a curated record. Lineage: Eukaryota; Metazoa; Arthropoda; Insecta; Hymenoptera; Vespidae. The transcript is spliced from 13 exons.